GAGUUUGAUCCUGGCUCAGAACGAACGCUGGCGGCGUGCCUAACACAUGCAAGUCGAACGUGGUCCAGAGCUUGCUCUGGUGAAAGUGGCGCACGGGUGAGUAACGCGUGGAUAACCUACCCUGGUAUCCGGGAUAACAUUCCGAAAGGGGUGCUAAUACCGGAUAAGCCCACGGGCUCUUUGGAGCUUGCGGGAAAAGGUGGCCUCUAUUUAUAAGCUACUGUAUCAGGAUGGGUCCGCGUACCAUUAGCUAGUUGGCGGUGUAACGGACCACCAAGGCGACGAUGGUUAGCUGGUCUGAGAGGAUGAUCAGCCACACUGGAACUGAGACACGGUCCAGACUCCUACGGGAGGCAGCAGUGGGGAAUUUUGCGCAAUGGGGGAAACCCUGACGCAGCAACGCCGCGUGAGUGAUGAAGGCCUUUGGGUCGUAAAGCUCUGUCAGAGGGGAAGAAAUGAUAUAGUGCUAAUACCACUUUAUCUUGACGGUACCCUCAAAGGAAGCACCGGCUAACUCCGUGCCAGCAGCCGCGGUAAUAC
This 540-nucleotide ribosomal RNA is filed under the name uncultured Geobacteraceae bacterium. RNAcentral's name for it is "bacterial SSU rRNA". It matches the Rfam family "Bacterial small subunit ribosomal RNA", at positions 9 to 526 of the family's 1533-position model. The record is from RNAcentral. Lineage: Bacteria; Pseudomonadati; Thermodesulfobacteriota; Desulfuromonadia; Geobacterales; Geobacteraceae.